GACGAACGCUGGCGGCGUGCCUAACACAUGCAAGUCGAGCGGAGGUAUAUACGAAGAAGUUUUCGGACGGAAUUGUAUAUACUUUAGCGGCGGACGGGUGAGUAACGCGUGAGCAACCUGCCUUUCACAGGGGGAUAAGGCGGCGAAAGCCGCUCUAAUACCGCAUGAGACCACAGUGGUGAUGCUACAGGGGUCAAAGGAGCAAUCCGGUGAAAGAUGGGCUCGCGUCCGAUUAGGUAGUUGGUGGGGUAAUGGCCCACCAAGCCCGUGAUCGGUAGCCGGCCUGAGAGGGUGAACGGCCACAUUGGAACUGAGACACGGUCCAA
This 326-nucleotide ribosomal RNA is filed under the name uncultured bacterium. RNAcentral's name for it is "bacterial SSU rRNA". It matches the Rfam family "Bacterial small subunit ribosomal RNA", at positions 28 to 334 of the family's 1533-position model. The record is from RNAcentral.